AUUGAACGCUGGCGGCGUGCUUGACACAUGCAAGUCGAACGAGAACGGAUUAUAGCUUGCUAUAAUUGUCAGCUAAGUGGCGCACGGGUGAGUAAUGUAUAGGUAAUAUGCCUCUUACUAAGGGAUAACAAAUGGAAACGUUUGCUAAUACCUUAUACUCCUUAUUAACAGGAGUUACUAAGGGAAAGAUUUAUUGGUAAGAGAUUAGCCUGUAUUGUAUCAGUUAGUUGGUGGGGUAAUGGCUUACCAAGACUAUGACACAUAACUGGUUUGAGAGGAUGAUCAGUCACACUGGAACUGAGACGCGGUCCAGACUCCUACGGGAGGCAGCAGUGGGGAAUAUUGCACAAUGGACGAAAGACUGAUGCAGCAACGCCGCGUGGAGGAUGACACAUUUCGGUGCGUAAACUCCUUUUAUAUGAGAAGAUAAUGACGGUAUUAUAUGAAUAAGCACCGGCUAACUCCGUGCCAGCAGCCGCCGUAA
RNAcentral lists this ribosomal RNA (484 nucleotides) under uncultured bacterium. RNAcentral describes it as "partial 16S ribosomal RNA". It matches the Rfam family "Bacterial small subunit ribosomal RNA", at positions 30 to 523 of the family's 1533-position model. The record is from RNAcentral.